UUGACCUCGGAUCAGGUAGGGAUACCCGCUGAACUUAAGCAUAUCAAUAAGCGGAGGAAAAGAAACCAACAGGGAUUGCCUCAGUAACGGCGAGUGAAGCGGCAAGAGCUCAAAUUUGAAAGCUGGCCCCCUCGGGGUCCGCGUUGUAAUUUGCAGAGGAUGCUUCGGGUGCAGCCCCCGUCUAAGUGCCCUGGAACGGGCCGU
RNAcentral lists this ribosomal RNA (204 nucleotides) under Aspergillus lentulus. RNAcentral's name for it is "partial 28S ribosomal RNA". It matches the Rfam family "Eukaryotic large subunit ribosomal RNA", at positions 1 to 203 of the family's 3401-position model. Lineage: Eukaryota; Fungi; Ascomycota; Eurotiomycetes; Eurotiales; Aspergillaceae. The record is from RNAcentral.